GCGUGAGUGAAGAAGGCCUUAGGGUUGUAAAGCUCUUUCACCCGUGACGAUGAUGACGGUAGCGGGAGAAGAAGCCCCGGCUAACUCCGUGCCAGCAGCCGCGGUAAUACGGAGGGGGCAAGCGUUGUUCGGAAUUACUGGGCGUAAAGGGCGCGUAGGCGGGUUACCAAGUCAGAGGUGAAAGUCCUGGGCUCAACCUGGGGACUGCCUUUGAAACUGGUGAUCUAGAGUCCGGGAGAGGAUGGCGGAAUUCCCAGUGUAGAGGUGAAAUUCGU
This 275-nucleotide ribosomal RNA is filed under the name uncultured bacterium. Its description in RNAcentral is "partial 16S ribosomal RNA". It matches the Rfam family "Bacterial small subunit ribosomal RNA", at positions 399 to 691 of the family's 1533-position model. The record is from RNAcentral.